Molecule: long non-coding RNA, 1316 nt
Filed under: Lepisosteus oculatus (spotted gar)
Lineage: Eukaryota; Metazoa; Chordata; Actinopteri; Semionotiformes; Lepisosteidae
Description: lncRNA (ENSLOCG00000021837.1)
Source: RNAcentral
GUUUUUCAUUUUUUAUAAUGUCCUAAUAAGAAUUGCAAUCCAACUGCCUUGGUAUUGCCCACAGGUACAUGCUUUGGAAUGGGGCGCCUGUGUAACUGUGACAGCAAUGAUCACGUCUGGAGGAUGGAUGAGGGUUUUCUCAGAGACAAAAACUCGCUGCCUGUGAAGGCCGUGCACUUUGGGGACACUAAGGAUGCCCCUCUAGAAAUGGCCUUCCACACUGUAGGAAAACUGACCUGCAAAGGGAAAAGUAAGUCUCAAGCACAUCACCGAGCAUCUAAACCCAGGCAUAAAAGGACAGCAGAUAUAGUUAUUGGAGAGAGGGCAUACCGAAGAUUAUUGGAAAUUGUAUCCCGACUUGCCUGAGAAACCAGUUGAUUGUGGUUUGUUAUAGAGCUUUUAGGCAAGACCUGCUGACAUGCAAAGGAUUACUCCUGAGACACGAAAUUCAAAGAUGACCCAUUUUAAUUUUUAGAUGAGAGGAAAGAUUCAUUUAAGGAUACUGCUGCACUGACUACAGGCAUACAGUAGAAGGAGCUGCUCUGGUAUUUAGACCUGGCAAGCUGCAUCUCUGCACCAGUUAACAGGCAUCACUAAGAACUAUUCAGCUUCCACCUUCAGGAGCUCUGGGUAGAAAAGACAGAAGGAUUUUUAAAAUGUAAUGAGUCACAGACAAUGAUUAUCAGUGAGUUGUGGAUGCAAGAAAUGUUUAAGAAUAGCAUUGGGGAGCUACUGAACCAGUACUGCAGCACAAUACACAUUGGAGAGUAUGCGUGCAAAAUUCCUAAAGUUUAAAAACCAAUGCACUUUUGGUUUGUCAAAAGUUAGGGCACAUAUAUAAUAUUUUGUGUUCUCAUGCAUACAUUAUUUUAUAAAAAGGUUCAUCAAUUUGGUAAAAAUUGUAAAAAAUGUAUUGAAAAUAUUUCUGAUUUUUCACUCAUUUCUAUGUAAGGUGGCAAAUGAUAUCAUCAUAUGAAAUAUUGAUGCAUACAGUUAUUAGUAUUGUAACAUUGAGUUAUACCAAAACACAAAGUAGCUAUGGUCACUUUCAACACUUGGUAGUCCUGUGUCCUUUACACAAUGUGAAAUGUCAGAUAAAAGUCACAAGUAGCUGAGGUGACAUUUAUACAAGCUCAUUUCAGUAGUGUUUCAUUCCUACCAAGAGAAGGUACAAUGUGUAAUCUUAUGAGAAGCUGUUAGUGCCACUUAAGGUGAACUUGCCGCAGAAAUAAGAUAGGUUAGAAGAGGUAUUGUCCAGAAUAAAAUUAUCAAUGUUAUGUAUUUCUUAAGGAAAAAUUAAGAAUAAAAAACUGAAG